Molecule: ribosomal RNA, 450 nt
Filed under: uncultured bacterium
Lineage: Bacteria
Description: partial 16S ribosomal RNA
Rfam family: Bacterial small subunit ribosomal RNA
Source: RNAcentral
GUGGGGAAUUUUGGACAAUGGGCGCAAGCCUGAUCCAGCAAUGCCGCGUGCAGGAAGAAGGCCUUCGGGUUGUAAACUGCUUUUGUACGGAACGAAACGGUCCGGGUUAAUACCCUGGGCUAAUGACGGUACCGUAAGAAUAAGCACCGGCUAACUACGUGCCAGCAGCCGCGGUAAUACGUAGGGUGCAAGCGUUAAUCGGAAUUACUGGGCGUAAAGCGUGCGCAGGCGGUUUUGUAAGACAGGCGUGAAAUCCCCGGGCUCAACCUGGGAAUUGCGAUUGUGACUGCAAGGCUGGAGUGCGGCAGAGGGGGAUGGAAUUCCGCGUGUAGCAGUGAAAUGCGUAGAUAUGCGGAGGAACACCGAUGGCGAAGGCAAUCCCCUGGGCCUGCACUGACGCUCAUGCACGAAAGCGUGGGGAGCAAACAGGAUUAGAUACCCUAGUAGUCC